AAAGUAAUUGCAAAAAAAAAAAAAUAGUAGACACGUGGAUUUCACCCUGAUAACAUACGGAUGUGAUUUUAUUUAGUCUGUUUCUUUCAAAGAACCUUUGGGGUACUUCUGAAUGUGCUGGGUCCAGGGUUACUGGGGGGACAUAAAAAGAAGGUCAGAGACAUGACGAGAGGGAGAAUUACCUGCAAAAUACUUAGAAAUGUUGAAAGCAAAUAUAGCACUUUUAAUGACUAUUUGAGCUCUCAGGAAAUGGAAAGAAAAUAUUCAAGGGUCAAAACAGAAGAGGAAACUGAACCCCAGAGUGUUAGGCACAUGGAGUUGUGCUGGUGGGUCCUGGGGUUGCUGUGAUGGGUAUCUGUCAGUUCAGGGAAAAGAAAGGAUGUCCCAGGCCUGAGAAAGAUGGGAAGUAGACUUACAUCUCUGUGUUAGGGCUCCUGAAAGGAUGACCCGAAGGUGAAUCUGCCCUCCUUCGUUAGGAGAGAAAACGAAAGAUUAGGAACCACCAACGUAGUGUUGGAAGCCUGAUGGAAUCUGGGUAGGAAAAAAGACACAAGAGUGACAGAUGAUGUUUUGGGGCAAUUGGGAAAAGUGACUAUUGGCUGGAUAGUAGGUCAUACUAUGGAAUUUUUGUUAAUUUUCUUAGAUGUGAUGACAUUAUUUUAGAUGUGAGAUGAUAUUAGAGGUGUGAAUGUCCUUAUUUUUAUAAUUUGCAUGCAGUAGUAUCUAGGGGUAAAGUGUGUCACAAGAGAGUUCAGAGCUUUACUUGAUAUGAAUAUUUUAUUGAGUGAGAAACAAACUGUUCGUGAACAGGGGACUUCAGAAGUGACAGGGGUGAGAAGCUCUUCUCUCAGCGAUUACAGCUUGAUUCAUGAAGCGUGAAUGAGGAAGAGCGUUGUUUUCUGUUGUCCCUGGUUACUGGAAAUGCACGUUCCUUUUCAGGUGGUGACACCCCAUGAGUUUACUGGCAUGUAGCUGAUUGGCUAGGAAACUGCAAGGUUCCACUGACAGGAAGAAGGCUUAAAUUUGUUUAAAGUCGGUGUCAACAUUUGGGAGAAAUGAGGACAGUUGUAGUUUUGGUUAUGUGGCUACAGGUGGUGGCUUAGGGGUGCAUGCAGACUGUGAUCUCUGUUUUGGUUUUUCUUUAACGAGUAUUAUGAUGUG
This 1161-nucleotide long non-coding RNA is filed under the name Equus caballus (horse). Its description in RNAcentral is "lncRNA (ENSECAG00000049737.1)". The record is from RNAcentral. Lineage: Eukaryota; Metazoa; Chordata; Mammalia; Perissodactyla; Equidae.